RNAcentral lists this ribosomal RNA (268 nucleotides) under uncultured bacterium. Its description in RNAcentral is "partial 16S ribosomal RNA". It matches the Rfam family "Bacterial small subunit ribosomal RNA", at positions 15 to 273 of the family's 1533-position model. The record is from RNAcentral.
GAUCCUGGCUCAGGAUGAACGCUAGCGACAGGCUUAACACAUGCAAGUCGAGGGGCAGCACGGUGUAGCAAUACACUGGUGGCGACCGGCGCACGGGUGAGUAACACGUGUGCAACCAACCCCGUACCGGGAGAUAACCCGCGGAAACGUGGACUAACAUCCCAUAACACUCUAGAGCCGCAUGGUUCUGGAUUUAAAAUUCCGGUGGUUACGGGACGGGCACGCGCGGACAUUAGGUAGUUGGGCGGGGUAACGGCCCCACCCAAAG